GGGGAUUUAGCUCAGUGGCAUAAAAGCACCUGCCUUGCAAGCAGGUGGUCGUGAGUUCGAUCCCUA
This is a transfer RNA of Cavia porcellus (domestic guinea pig), 66 nucleotides long. It matches the Rfam family "tRNA". From Rfam's summary of the family: Transfer RNA (tRNA) molecules are approximately 80 nucleotides in length. The record is from Rfam. Lineage: Eukaryota; Metazoa; Chordata; Mammalia; Rodentia; Caviidae.